Molecule: long non-coding RNA, 5903 nt
Organism: Triticum aestivum (bread wheat)
Lineage: Eukaryota; Viridiplantae; Streptophyta; Magnoliopsida; Poales; Poaceae
Exons: 6
Source: RefSeq, a predicted model, not a curated record
CCGGCCCAAAUUGGCUUUCAUGAAUAACCUAGGUCGUUUUGUCCCCAGCCUCACCUAUUCGCUCCCACGCCGGCCGCCGCCCCUCGCGGCUGUGACCAACCUCCAUCCCGGCGCGCCGCCCUUCUUCACUCCGCUGCGGUCCUCCAUCCCGGCGGCCGCCAGCACCACUCCCCUGCAACACUGCAUCCCAGUGCGCCGCCCCUCGUCACCACUCCCCUAUGGUCCUCUCCUCCGUCCCGGCGCGCCGCCAGCACCACUCCCCUGCGACUCUGCAUCCCGGCGCGCCGCCCCUCGUCACCCCUCCCCUGCGACCAUUGGUGAAUCCAAGGAACAAAUGUUUGAGCCCUAGGUACGCAGAGAAGGUGGCGGCCAAAGAGUUUGAUUUGUUUAUCUGGUGUUCCUGCAUGACGGUCUUGACUCUUGAGAGCUGAGAAGAUCCGUUUGGGCUUAAGAAAAUUCUGCAGUUGUUUCUGCACCCGAGUUCAUGGUCACGGUCUCAUGGAGUCCAAUGGAAUAAUGUUGGAAGCCCAUGGUGUCCAUUGAAUUUUUUUCACCUGCUACUAGCUGGAUUCCAAGCAUUGUAGAUACUUUGUUUUCACCCUCAUAAAGCUGAUGAAUGUGAAUGAAGAUUAUGGAGAACUUUCUUCAGUAGCAAGGCCGACAAAUUUCAUAGUGCAGGCAGGGGUUUGGAAGUACAUGCCGCAGUAUAUAUGGUGGAAGGAUGGAAGGCUGCAUGCCUCCCCUAUCUUUCCAUGGUACAGAGAAAUGCAAUCGCAAUCAAGCACUAAAUAUGUUGCAAUGGACAUGACCCCAAAACUUUCUCCCUCUCUUUUAUUUGAGGCACACUUUACGCUGCUCGGUCGACUAGGCCGUCGCGACGCUGUGGGAGAAGGACAUCGGUGCAGAGCAUGGCAAAGCUGAGUACUUGUUGGAUCUGAGGACUUCUGAUCCACAGUUCUCCGCAUUAUCAUCCAUCAGCAUCUGGUGACAUUAGCACUCAGCUGCAUAAGGCUUUCUCCCCACUACAGUUGGAGUUCAAGAGCGAAAGGAAGGUAAUCUGGUGAUCAAUCACUGUUGCUUGUCACAAUCUGAAAAAUAUUAUUGAGUACAUCUACCACGAGCUAUGCUUGCCAUUUAAAAAGAUGUUUAUGUGAGCUGCAUGUCAUAUAAUUUUUUUUAUGCAAGCAGAUCCUGCGAUUUACUUAUGAUUUAUGAACAGAAAUUGUUCACUGCAUAACCCCUAAAUACAGUAGAAGGGAAACAAAUCUUAUAAAACUACGCUGAGACAAGUAGUACUUAUUGAGUCAAGUAACAUGUUAGAUAAAAUUCCACACCUAUUACGACUUAUCUGACUUCUGUAUUUUUUAAAGAUAACUGAACUAGUUUGUGUUCCAGGAAUACAAAACCAUGGGUGUUGUCCAUUUAUUCACUUGGCUUUUGGAAUUUGAUUGAUGUCCCCUUCUCCUAUUAUUAACAACAUAUACCUACACGGUUCUGUUUGCUGGUUCGUGCUUCCUCUUUAUACUAUGCUUGCCUACAUACGUAGUCUCACUCCUUUAUUCUCUUGAUGUGCUUUUUCUUUAUAAGGAAGAAUACACACCAUGGGGAAAAGAGAAGUAAAUUUGUAGCCUAUGGCCGGAAAGUGCUAUUGUGAUCCCGAGCACCUGUAAGAAAACCACAGCAAGAGUUUUCCCUUGAAAGAAAAAAAAGACGUAUAUACAAUGCAGGGGUCACCUCCGUCAGCUACAACUUAUGGAUCCGUCCACCUAAGUUCUCUCAAAAGAAAAAAAAGUUUUGAACUACUAUCUGAACAUUACCAGAUACAUGCGUACACCUGUUUCGGUGGUGUUAAUGAAAGUACCAUUAAUAUUCUGGACCAUUCAGCAAGCAGAAUCCUCAUAUUCUAUUUUCCAGACAGAUUCAGAGCACGCAUCACACAAGCAAGAUUCAGAGCACGCAUCACACAAGCAAAAUUCAGAGCAGCUAAAUGAAUCAUCGAUCACACACACGCAUGGGAAAACAGUUUCAUAUUACACUGCAGAACGGACUAGGUUUAUUCAGUAAACUGCAUUCAAUCAAGUUUGCAAUAAUAUAGUCUGGGCUACCAAUCUAAACAUCCACUGGCUCACAGUUCACAUACCUGCUAGAAAAAUUCAAUACUCCAACAUGACUGAAAAUGUCCUCUUUCACCAUGAGCUACAGAUUACAUCAACCAUGUAUAUCAAUCAGUUGUUAUUCAGUCGUAGCUCUACUGCUUUGUUGCAGUUGUUUCAGCGGCGAUCUUCUUUAUGACAACCUCCGUUGCAAGAUUCUGGUCUACACAAAUCAUUUGAAACAAAAGAAAACAGUUUCAGCACAUUCCCAAGCAUCCAUACAAAUUAGAUAAAGUGUUUUAGUACAGAAACAUGCGAACGUGUUAGAAUUGUUUUUGGUGUACCGACCAUCAUCCUAAUGAACUUGGCAAGAACCCACUCAAAGCUUUCAGCCUUCUUAUCAUGGACCAAUACCCCUGCCAAGAUUAUGCUAGGAAAAUGAUUGUUCACCCCAACAAACAUCCAAAAGGGCAUGUCACAUAGAUUUGUCCGGUAGAUAACGUCACAACAUCACCAAAAAAGGUGUAUUGCAAUCUACUGCUCCCAUUCGCCCACAUCAGCAGGCAGACAGUGUAUUGUUUGCCCGUAAGAGGGAGACAAUGAAUGGUUUUGCUGCUCACGAUGCUCUGCUAUGUAACACCCACUACCUUUUGAACGCAACAGCCUUAUCAGAGCAGGGCACUCACAUCAGCAAGAUCGUGUUCUCGACAAUAGGUUUCUCUGGAACACAUUUAGUAAGCACAACUCAGAUCACGCACAACUUAUUCAAGAAUCAUGUAAGCAUAAAGGAAUUGAUGUUUACGUACCGCGCAACCGCACACUAUUUCUUGAAUGCAUUUUGUCCUCUCCACAUUUAGCCGGCUUUUUCCGUAUCUAAUGCCGAAUCCUUUCUCCCAGGAAUAAAGGUUGUAAAAAUCGUAGGUUUCACCUAAAGCAUCAAAGCUUGUCCCCAGCUUGGGCACAAUGACAUAGCCUCCAUUUAUUUUCUACAAGACCAUGAAUCGCCUUCUCUAGAGAAGUAGUCCGAUAUGGACAUGGCAUCCUGCCUUGUGCAGCCGCGCCAAUCCUCACUCUGCAUGCAAAAACAUGACACCACUUUCAGUUUCCUUGCUCCAUUUUCGUAGUCUACUCCUAACCAACUGAAACGACCACUGAGCAAUUUUUUCAAUGAAAGUGCACAACCUUUUCUUUUCAUAUAUGUCUGCUCCCAAGUGUCUCUUCAAUUAUUAAUCUGGUUUACGUGGGUACUGAACUUCAGAAUUUUUUAACUGACAAACACCAAUAUUGCAACAAUUUUUAAAUUGAAGAACUACUACUUUUUUUAUGAUUCUACUACUAGUUCAUAUUUCUGAACUAACCAACCACUUUUCACUUUUCCGAGCUAUUCUAAAUAUGACAAACUCUAAUCAGGUUUAUGAUUCACGGCUGGGGGACUCAACUUUACAACUUUCCACCGACCAACACUAAUAUUGCUAUAAGUUUUAAGCUGAUGAGCUACUACUUUUUUCUGAUGAUUCUACUAAUUUCUAUUUCUGAAGUAACCAACCACAUUUCACUUUUCCUACUAUUCUAAAUAUGACGAAUUACAUACCGUCGAGUCCAUCGAUCUGCUCAAUUGACUCCUCUGAAGGUUGAGGGGAAGCUUCAGUUUGAGCAUCUGCCGGCCCAUGCAGCACACAGAUCUGCCACACAGCGCUGCCCCCUGCCAUAGGCAGCAGCUCCUCCGCCACCGGCGCGGCGGUGCCAUCGCUGGGUACUGGACUACUGGAGAGGCUCCAUCGGAUUUCGUUGUCAUUAGCCUCCUCCGGGAUUGUUCUUCUGUUCAUCCAAGAAAAAGAGGUCAAAUCACAAGAUUAGAUCUUUUGGAUUCGCUCCCAAACACAGAAUGGCAACACAGAUAAGUGAACGAGAUUUCUACCUCUUAAUCGGCUGCAUCAAAAAUUAAAUCUUCAGUUGCUAGCCUUCUCUCCUGCGUAUGCAAGCAAUGGAAGGAACCAGACACUUGAGGUAGGUGACAACAGCACGAACUGACCAAUCUCGCAUUUACUAGGCCGCUGGCGAACUAACGAGAAACAAUGUUUUAUUGGCCCACGGAUCAGGAUGUACUGACGUCCCGAGCCACGGCUCCCCUCCAAACCGUCGACGGCGUCCCUCGCCCGUAACUUACCUCGCCCAUCGUACAGGGUUCACGGCUCGCACAGGAAUUCAAUGCACCACAUCCCGAUGCUACACGCAACAGCUGAGAUAACGAGCGCCUGUGUGCUCGGGUUCACAAACUCCGCGUCCCCUAUGGCCACUUUAUAUAUACUUCCAUGUUUCUGAUUCAUCAGGAGGUCAUGUACUGAUGGAUUGCAAAAAGAAAAAAGAAAAAUAAUGUCAAUUGUUUCUAUAUCACUUUAAUAGGCACGGUUCAUCUGUAGUGUCCUUCAAUUAUUAGACCACAUUCAAUAUUAUUUUAUGGAUGCCUGCAACUUCCAAUUAAAUAUAUCACCAUAUAUCUAUCUGAUUUGUAUUUGUAGUCUACAAACAAGACAUCCUAAUUAUUUGUUCGAACAUACUACAGUCUUGUUUUCUCUGCUGUGUCUUCUCCUUUGCUUAAUAGUGUCACUGCCUUUGAUUUAUCUGCUCAGAUGUGUUAGUUAAGAGUUUGAUCUAGAUAUAUACUAGCUAUUUUAUUAGGAGUUGAUGGCAAAUAUGAACUAAUGGUUGAUCCGCCCUGCUGUCCUCGCUGCACUGCAUGCAAAAUCAUUGGGUCGGUACUGGGAGUACCUCAUUUAUGAUGGAUCUUAUGCUUCAAGCUUCUUUUUAUUGUCUAAUAUGUUUUACUGUACUAAUUUGGUAAACAUACUGCUUCAGUAUCUUCCAGUAGGUGCCUCAGAAUUAUGCAGUUUAUCAUACCAUACUGCUACUCAAAUGAAAAUGUCUAUCUUUGUGUUCUACACUGAAGGUAUCAUAUGAAGUUUAAUUAUUUUAAGCGUUCAUCACCAAAACUACUUUGUUUGUAGUGAAAGGCUUCAUAAAAUUUCAUAGACGUUGCACAUCAUGAGACUAACAUAUAGUAGAGGAAAAGAUGCAACCACGACAUGUCUUGGCCUCUCAACCUUUUCUGUUAUAUGUCACGUUUCUAUUAAUUAUUUUGCUUGACAUGAUUCUGCCAAUGGUAACUUUGAUUUUCUCUAACAGGAAGGAACAUAAGUAUUUUUAAUGAGCCUAAAAAAUCAUAACAGAAACAUAGCUCUUGCUACAGUUGUAAGUUGUGAUCCUAAAUUUGAACUUGAUGGUGCUGAAAUUACUAAUGAAUUCUGGGUAGUGCAUGUCGAUAUGACACUUGUGAAAACUGAAGAUUAGGUACAGAUCCCAAAAACUGCAACUCUUGGUAAUGCAGAUUUGUUUUUGCAUGUCAACCUUUGUAAGUGACUAAUAUCCUGCCUCUAUCAGUACUUGGAUCAUGUCAAUGCAUUGUGUGUUAACAGUUCAUUCUGUUUUUUUUGUUUGUAGAUUCAAAAGAUAAAUGGAUAAUUCUAUGGGUGUGUGUGGCAAGUAUAGUACAAUGAUGAUGAUGAUGAUGUUCCUGUUCAUGAUGAUGAAGACGAAUGGUUUCCAUUUUAAUUAAGUUGUAGGGAUGAUGUUCCUGUUGGACGAUGUUUGUCGAUUGUGUUUUAGUUAAGUUGUAGGGAUGUUGUGGAUGCUUUCAAUUUAAAUUUUGUUGUCAAGAAAAUAUUUAGAUUAUAUAUCCAUUUGGAUGAUUUUCCUUGUGUAAUAUCCACUAUUGUAAUCCAACAAUUUUAUCUAAUAUAUGAUUCUUCCUCC